AGCUUGCUUCUAUGACGUUAGCGGCGGACGGGUGAGUAACACGUGGGCAACCUGCCUGUAAGACUGGGAUAACUUCGGGAAACCGAAGCUAAUACCGGAUAGGAUCUUCUCCUUCAUGGGAGAUGAUUGAAAGAUGGUUUCGGCUAUCACUUACAGAUGGGCCCGCGGUGCAUUAGCUAGUUGGUGAGGUAACGGCUCACCAAGGCAACGAUGCAUAGCCGACCUGAGAGGGUGAUCGGCCACACUGGGACUGAGACACGGCCCAGACUCCUACGGGAGGCAGCAGUAGGGAAUCUUCCGCAAUGGACGAAAGUCUGACGGAGCAACGCCGCGUGAGUGAUGAAGGCUUUCGGGUCGUAAAACUCUGUUGUUAGGGAAGAACAAGUACGAGAGUAACUGCUCGUACCUUGACGGUACCUAACCAGAAAGCCACGGCUAACUAC
Molecule: ribosomal RNA, 443 nt
Filed under: Priestia megaterium
Lineage: Bacteria; Bacillati; Bacillota; Bacilli; Caryophanales; Bacillaceae
Description: bacterial SSU rRNA
Rfam family: Bacterial small subunit ribosomal RNA
Source: RNAcentral